CAGAAGGUAGUUUAUUUAGAAUUUCAGCUUUGGGAGCUGAUGGUAGGGUUUAAGCCCUCCUUCUGA
Molecule: transfer RNA, 66 nt
Filed under: Tachyglossus aculeatus (Australian echidna)
Lineage: Eukaryota; Metazoa; Chordata; Mammalia; Monotremata; Tachyglossidae
Description: transfer RNA-Pro
Rfam family: tRNA
About the family: Transfer RNA (tRNA) molecules are approximately 80 nucleotides in length. Their secondary structure includes four short double-helical elements and three loops (D, anti-codon, and T loops).
Source: RNAcentral